This 253-nucleotide ribosomal RNA is filed under the name uncultured bacterium. RNAcentral describes it as "partial 16S ribosomal RNA". It matches the Rfam family "Bacterial small subunit ribosomal RNA", at positions 524 to 776 of the family's 1533-position model. The record is from RNAcentral.
UACGUAGGGUGCAAGCGUUGUCCGGAAUUAUUGGGCGUAAAGAGCUCGUAGGCGGUUUGUCGCGUCUGCUGUGAAAACUCGGGGCUCAACUCCGAGCUUGCAGUGGGUACGGGCAGACUAGAGUGCGGUAGGGGAGACUGGAAUUCCUGGUGUAGCGGUGGAAUGCGCAGAUAUCAGGAGGAACACCGGUGGCGAAGGCGGGUCUCUGGGCCUUACCUGACGCUGAGACGCGAAAGCGUGGGGAGCGAACCGG